This 209-nucleotide ribosomal RNA is filed under the name uncultured bacterium. Its description in RNAcentral is "partial 16S ribosomal RNA". It matches the Rfam family "Bacterial small subunit ribosomal RNA", at positions 1291 to 1500 of the family's 1533-position model. The record is from RNAcentral.
GUUCGGAUUGAAGGCUGAAAUUCGCCUUCAUGAAGCUGGAAUUGCUAGUAAUGGCAGGUCAGCAUACUGCCGUGAAUACGUUCCCGGGCCUUGUACACACCGCCCGUCACACCAUGAGAGUUGGGAAUACCCGAAGCCUGUGAGCUAACUUAUAGAGGCAGCAGUCGAAGGUAGAAUCAAUGAUUGGGGUGAAGUCGUAACAAGGUACC